RNAcentral lists this ribosomal RNA (354 nucleotides) under uncultured eukaryote. Its description in RNAcentral is "LSU rRNA". It matches the Rfam family "Bacterial large subunit ribosomal RNA", at positions 2125 to 2478 of the family's 2925-position model. The record is from RNAcentral.
GGGCUUUGUUUGCGCAGGAUAGGUGGGAGGCGUUGAAAGUUUUCUUGCGGGAAGAUUUGAGCCAUUGGUGAGAUACCACUCUAACAAUGCUAGGAUUCUAACCCUAUGUCGUUAUCCGGCUAGGGGACAGUUUCAGGUGGUCAGUUUGACUGGGGCGGUCGCCUCCUAAAAGGUAACGGAGGCGUGCAAAGGUUCCCUCAGGCUGAUUGGAAAUCAGUCGUAGAGUGUAAAGGCAUAAGGGAGCUUGAUUGUGAGACCUACAAGUCGAACAAAGACGAAAGUCGGCCUUAGUGAUCCGGCGGUACCGAGUGGAAGGGCCGUCGCUCAACGGAUAAAAGUUACUCUAGGGAUAAC